UACAGAGGCCACGAGCGUUAGGCGGAAUCACUGGGCUUAAAGCGUGUGUAGGUGGAUGGGUAAGUACCUUGUGAAAUCCCACAGCUCAACUGUGGAACUGCUUGGUAUACUGCCUGUCUUGAGGCACUCAGGGGCGAGCGGAACAGAUGGUGGAGCGGUGAAAUGCGUAGAUAUCAUCUGGAACGCCAAUGGUGAAGACAGCUCGCUGGGGGUGUACCGACACUGAGACACGAAAGCCAGGGGAGCAAACGGG
Molecule: unclassified non-coding RNA, 253 nt
Filed under: uncultured Tepidisphaeraceae bacterium
Lineage: Bacteria; Pseudomonadati; Planctomycetota; Phycisphaerae; Tepidisphaerales; Tepidisphaeraceae
Description: contains 16S-23S intergenic spacer region
Rfam family: Bacterial small subunit ribosomal RNA
Source: RNAcentral